AACGAACGCUGGCGGCGUGCCUAACACAUGCAAGUCGUGCGGGAAAGCAGGGGCAACUCUGCGAGUACAGCGGCGCACGGGUGAGUAACACGUAGGUAACCUACCUCCGAGACUGGGAUAACCUGUCGAAAGACGGGCUAAUACCGGAUAAGACCACAACGGCUGCGGUUGUUGGGGUAAAAGGUGGCCUCUGCUUGCAAGCUACCACUUGGGGAUGGGCCUGCGCGCCAUUAGCUAGUUGGCGGGGUAACGGCCCACCAAGGCAGAGAUGGCUAGCUGGUCUGAGAGGAUGGCCAGCCACACUGGGACUGAGACACGGCCCAGACUCCUACGGGAGGCAGCAGUGGGGAAUCUUGCGCAAUGGGCGAAAGCCUGACGCAGCGACGCCGCG
RNAcentral lists this ribosomal RNA (391 nucleotides) under uncultured bacterium. RNAcentral's name for it is "bacterial SSU rRNA". It matches the Rfam family "Bacterial small subunit ribosomal RNA", at positions 29 to 401 of the family's 1533-position model. The record is from RNAcentral.